This 253-nucleotide ribosomal RNA is filed under the name uncultured bacterium. RNAcentral describes it as "partial 16S ribosomal RNA". It matches the Rfam family "Bacterial small subunit ribosomal RNA", at positions 524 to 776 of the family's 1533-position model. The record is from RNAcentral.
UACAGAGGUCUCAAGCGUUGUUCGGAAUCACUGGGCGUAAAGGGUGCGUAGGCCGCACGGCAAGUCAGAGGUGAAAUCCCGGAGCUCAACUUCGGAAUUGCCUCCGAUACUCCCGUGCUUGAGGACUGGAGAGGAGUCUGGAAUUCACAGUGGAGCAGUGAAAUGCGUAGAUAUUGUGAGGAACACUAGUGGCGAAGGCGAGACUCUGGACAGUUCCUGACGCUGAGGCACGAAGGCCAGGGGAGCAAACGGG